Molecule: ribosomal RNA, 481 nt
Filed under: uncultured bacterium
Lineage: Bacteria
Description: bacterial SSU rRNA
Rfam family: Bacterial small subunit ribosomal RNA
Source: RNAcentral
AUUGAACGCUGGCGGAAUGCUUACACAUGCAAGUCGAGCGGCAGCGCGGGGCAACCUGGCGGCGAGCGGCGAACGGGUGAGUAAUACAUCGGAACGUGCCCAGACGUGGGGGAUAACUACUCGAAAGAGUGGCUAAUACCGCAUACGAUCUACGGAUGAAAGCGGGGGAUCGCAAGACCUCGCGCGUCUGGAGCGGCUGAUGGCAGAUUAGGUAGUUGGUGGGAUAAAAGCCUACCAAGCCAACGAUCUGUAGCUGGUCUGAGAGGAUGAUCAGCCACACUGGGACUGAGACACGGCCCAGACUCCUACGGGAGGCAGCAGUGGGGAAUUUUGGACAAUGGGCGAAAGCCUGAUCCAGCCAUUCCGCGUGCAGGAUGGAGGCCCUCGGGUUGUAAACUGCUUUUGUACAGAACGAAAAAGCUCUGGCUAAUACCUGGAGUCCAUGACGGUACUGUAAGAAUAAGCACCGGCUAACUACGUG